GAUGAACGCUGGCGGCGUGCCUAACACAUGCAAGUCGAGCGAUUUUCUUCGGAGAAGAGCGGCGGACGGGUGAGUAACGCGUGGGUAACCUGCCCUGUACACACGGAUAACAUACCGAAAGGUAUGCUAAUACGAGAUAACAUACUUUUAUCGCAUGGUAGAAGUAUCAAAGCUUUUGCGGUACAGGAUGGACCCGCGUCUGAUUAGCUAGUUGGUAAGGUAACGGCUUACCAAGGCGACGAUCAGUAGCCGACCUGAGAGGGUGAUCGGCCACAUUGGAACUGAGACACGGUCCAAACUCCUACGGGAGGCAGCAGUGGGGAAUAUUGCACAAUGGGCGAAAGCCUGAUGCAGCAACGCCGCGUGAGCGAUGAAGGCCUUCGGGUCGUAAAGCUCUGUCCUCAAGGAAGAUAAUGACGGUACUUGAGGAGGAAGCCCCGGCUAACUACGUGCCAGCCGCCGCGGUAA
Molecule: ribosomal RNA, 468 nt
Filed under: uncultured bacterium
Lineage: Bacteria
Description: partial 16S ribosomal RNA
Rfam family: Bacterial small subunit ribosomal RNA
Source: RNAcentral